RNAcentral lists this ribosomal RNA (1483 nucleotides) under Helicobacter pylori SA233C. Its description in RNAcentral is "bacterial SSU rRNA". It matches the Rfam family "Bacterial small subunit ribosomal RNA". The record is from RNAcentral. Lineage: Bacteria; Pseudomonadati; Campylobacterota; Epsilonproteobacteria; Campylobacterales; Helicobacteraceae.
AGAGUUUGAUCCUGGCUCAGAGUGAACGCUGGCGGCGUGCCUAAUACAUGCAAGUCGAACGAUGAAAUUUCUAGCUUGCUAGAAAUGGAUUAGUGGCGCACGGGUGAGUAACGCAUAGGUUAUGUGCCUCUUAGUUUGGGAUAGCCAUUGGAAACGAUGAUUAAUACCAGAUACUCCCUACGGGGGAAAGAUUUAUCGCUAAGAGAUCAGCCUAUGUCCUAUCAGCUUGUUGGUAAGGUAAUGGCUUACCAAGGCUAUGACGGGUAUCCGGCCUGAGAGGGUGAACGGACACACUGGAACUGAGACACGGUCCAGACUCCUACGGGAGGCAGCAGUAGGGAAUAUUGCUCAAUGGGGGAAACCCUGAAGCAGCAACGCCGCGUGGAGGAUGAAGGUUUUAGGAUUGUAAACUCCUUUUGUUAGAGAAGAUAAUGACGGUAUCUAACGAAUAAGCACCGGCUAACUCCGUGCCAGCAGCCGCGGUAAUACGGAGGGUGCAAGCGUUACUCGGAAUCACUGGGCGUAAAGAGCGCGUAGGCGGGAUAGUCAGUCAGGUGUGAAAUCCUAUGGCUUAACCAUAGAACUGCAUUUGAAACUACUAUUCUAGAGUGUGGGAGAGGUAGGUGGAAUUCUUGGUGUAGGGGUAAAAUCCGUAGAGAUCAAGAGGAAUACUCAUUGCGAAGGCGACCUGCUGGAACAUUACUGACGCUGAUUGCGCGAAAGCGUGGGGAGCAAACAGGAUUAGAUACCCUGGUAGUCCACGCCCUAAACGAUGGAUGCUAGUUGUUGGAGGGCUUAGUCUCUCCAGUAAUGCAGCUAACGCAUUAAGCAUCCCGCCUGGGGAGUACGGUCGCAAGAUUAAAACUCAAAGGAAUAGACGGGGACCCGCACAAGCGGUGGAGCAUGUGGUUUAAUUCGAAGAUACACGAAGAACCUUACCUAGGCUUGACAUUGAGAGAAUCCGCUAGAAAUAGUGGAGUGUCUAGCUUGCUAGACCUUGAAAACAGGUGCUGCACGGCUGUCGUCAGCUCGUGUCGUGAGAUGUUGGGUUAAGUCCCGCAACGAGCGCAACCCCCUUUCUUAGUUGCUAACAGGUCAUGCUGAGAACUCUAAGGAUACUGCCUCCGUAAGGAGGAGGAAGGUGGGGACGACGUCAAGUCAUCAUGGCCCUUACGCCUAGGGCUACACACGUGCUACAAUGGGGUGCACAAAGAGAAGCAAUACUGCGAAGUGGAGCCAAUCUUCAAAACACCUCUCAGUUCGGAUUGUAGGCUGCAACUCGCCUGCAUGAAGCUGGAAUCGCUAGUAAUCGCAAAUCAGUCAUGUUGCGGUGAAUACGUUCCCGGGUCUUGUACUCACCGCCCGUCACACCAUGGGAGUUGUGUUUGCCUUAAGUCAGGAUGCUAAACCAGCUACUGCCCACGGCACACACAGCGACUGGGGUGAAGUCGUAACAAGGUAACCGUAGGUGAACCUGCGGUUG